Molecule: long non-coding RNA, 1097 nt
Filed under: Mustela putorius furo (domestic ferret)
Lineage: Eukaryota; Metazoa; Chordata; Mammalia; Carnivora; Mustelidae
Description: lncRNA (ENSMPUG00000023941.1)
Source: RNAcentral
CCCUGACUGUCAGACACUCCAUAAGAGCACUGAUUAUCCUGCCAAGGAUCUGAUGCCCAGCACUCUCAAAGUGAAGGGUCCUUCUAUAGGCCACAGUCAGCUGUAUUCUGAGCAGAAGCAGAAAGAAGGCCACUAUCACCCACUCGGUUUUGUACCUUGCCAUGGAUGCCAAAGCAGUCAUACUCAGAAGGGCAUAUGGGAUGCAUUAACAACACCCUUGCUGGAUCCUCGGAUGCUGUGGACAGGCCCAACAAGUGCUGAAAGGAGGGGGCAGCCCUGAUACUCAUCUGCUGAUAAGCGCACCCACUGGGGGACUCAGAAGGGAAUUCCAGAACAUUCUUUUGAUAAAGCCUCCAAGCCACCAGAUCUGCUGCUGCCAGCACUAAAAAUAGUUGGGUGUAGUUGAGAAAGCAUUGGUCUGGAAGUGGGAAGGUGUGGGGCCCUCAUCCUGCUCAUGAACUAGCUUUAUGUCCUUGCCAUUAAACCUGUUCGCCUCCCAAUGCGCUCUCUUCUGAGCAUCAGGGAGCAGCACUUUUUUGAUCACGGGGCAGGUGGGGAUCCCAAGGGAGAUAAUGAACCUGAAAGUAUUUGGCCAAUGCCAACUCCAGUCUCAGGAGACGAGUGCAAGGAAGGGUCACGAUAAGAAAGCCGCCACACUGAGGACACUUGGUCUAUUGUCAGUCUGUCAUUGUAGCAGGAGUAAAAUCCUCCCACAUUCCGGAUUUUGAUGGUCUGUAGGUGGCCCUUCAGUGAGGAGAUGAUUCCCUCUGUUCUACUCCCUCCUAACUUUCUGUGCAACAGUCAGCCACGCUCUCGUCUGGCCUGCCCUGUCCUAUCACUCCAUCGUCCAUGACCACCACAUAUGUGUUUAAUACGGGGAAGGCCUACACAGCAGCCAGAAAUGCGAAUGGCUAUUCUCAGCAAAUGCGAGGUUACCCGAGCCGCAGGAUAAAUAAACGUGGUUAUUUUUCCUUUUUAAAAAUAGUUAUUCCGUUCUUUUUUAAGACUUUGAAAUACAGUAUAAAUAGUCUAUAUUGAGCACUGACUAUAGGCCAGUCUGUGUUAAUACUUUACCAACAUUAUUUCAUUUAUUAUUC